UUAAGCGACUAAGCGUACACGGUGGAUGCCCUGGCAGUCAGAGGCGAUGAAGGACGUGCUAAUCUGCGAUAAGCGCCGGUAAGGUGAUAUGAACCGUUAUAACCGGCGAUUUCCGAAUGGGGAAACCCAGUGUGAUUCGUCACACUAUCAUUAACUGAAUCCAUAGGUUAAUGAGGCGAACCGGGGGAACUGAAACAUCUAAGUACCCCGAGGAAAAGAAAUCAACCGAGAUUCCCCCAGUAGCGGCGAGCGAACGGGGAGGAGCCCAGAGCCUGAAUCAGCAUGUGUGUUAGUGGAAGCGUCUGGAAAGGCGCGCGAUACAGGGUGACAGCCCCGUACACAAAAGCGCAUGUGUUGUGAGCUCGAUGAGUAGGGCGGGACACGUGGUAUCCUGUCUGAAUAUGGGGGGACCAUCCUCCAAGGCUAAAUACUCCUGACUGACCGAUAGUGAACCAGUACCGUGAGGGAAAGGCGAAAAGAACCCCGGCGAGGGGAGUGAAAAAGAACCUGAAACCGUGUACGUACAAGCAGUGGGAGCCCCACCACUAAGCCAGUGGUGAACUCCACAUACGCAUCCUUUGCUGAGGAUACGGUUAACGGAGCGCAAGCGACGUUCAACCGCAAAAGAAGCAGAGGGGGCUUAGUGGUGGGGUGACUGCGUACCUUUUGUAUAAUGGGUCAGCGACUUAUAUUCUGUAGCAAGGUUAACCGUAUAGGGGAGCCGCAGGGUGACUGCGUACCUUUUGUAUAAUGGGUCAGCGACUUAUAUUCUGUAGCAAGGUUAACCGUAUAGGGGAGCCGCAGGGAAACCGAGUCUUAACCGGGCGUUAAGUUGCAGGGUAUAGACCCGAAACCCGGUGAUCUAGCCAUGGGCAGGUUGAAGGUUGGGUAACACUAACUGGAGGACCGAACCGACUAAUGUUGAAAAAUUAGCGGAUGACCUGUGGCUGGGGGUGAAAGGCCAAUCAAACCGGGAGAUAGCUGGUUCUCCCCGAAAGCUAUUUAGGUAGCGCCUCGUGAAUUCAUCUCCGGGGGUAGAGCACUGUUUCGGCUAGGGGGCCAUCCCGGCUUACCAACCCGAUGCAAACUGCGAAUACCGGAGAAUGUUAUCACGGGAGACACACGGCGGGUGCUAACGUCCGUCGUGAAGAGGGAAACAACCCAGACCGCCAGCUAAGGUCCCAAAGUCAUGGUUAAGUGGGAAACGAUGUGGGAAGGCCCAGACAGCCAGGAUGUUGGCUUAGAAGCAGCCAUCAUUUAAAGAAAGCGUAAUAGCUCACUGGUCGAGUCGGCCUGCGCGGAAGAUGUAACGGGGCUAAACCAUGCACCGAAGCUGCGGCAGCGAGUAAUAGCUCACUGGUCGAGUCGGCCUGCGCGGAAGAUGUAACGGGGCUAAACCAUGCACCGAAGCUGCGGCAGCGAACGUAUCACUUAAAGCGAUUCAGCGGGUUACGAUUGACGGAGCGAAGCGACGUCAAAGCGUAUACAAAGUCGAGUCGGUUUAAGGAUACGUUCGUUGGGUAGGGGAGCGUUCUGUAAGCCUGUGAAGGUGUGUCGUGAGGCAUGCUGGAGGUAUCAGAAGUGCGAAUGCUNGUUGGGUAGGGGAGCGUUCUGUAAGCCUGUGAAGGUGGCCUGUGAGGGUUGCUGGAGGUAUCAGAAGUGCGAAUGCUGACAUAAGUAACGAUAAAGCGGGUGAAAAGCCCGCUCGCCGGAAGACCAAGGGUUCCUGUCCAACGUUAAUCGGGGCAGGGUGAGUCGACCCCUAAGGCGAGGCCGAAAGGCGUAGUCGAUGGGAAACGGGUUAAUAUUCCCGUACUUGGUGUUACUGCGAAGGGGGGACGGAGAAGGCUAUGUUGGCCGGGCGACGGUUGUCCCGGUUUAAGCGUGUAGGUGUGUGUUCCAGGUAAAUCCGGUUCACUUUAACACUGAGGCGUGAUGACGAGGCACUACGGUGCUGAAGCAACAAAUGCCCUGCUUCCAGGAAAAGCCUCUAAGCAUCAGGUAACAUCAAAUCGUACCCCAAACCGACACAGGUGGUCAGGUAGAGAAUACCAAGGCGCUUGAGAGAACUCGGGUGAAGGAACUAGGCAAAAUGGUGCCGUAACUUCGGGAGAAGGCACGCUGACAUGUAGGUGAAGUGAUUUACUCAUGGAGCUGAAGUCAGUCGAAGAUACCAGCUGGCUGCAACUGUUUAUUAAAAACACAGCACUGUGCAAACACGAAAGUGGACGUAUACGGUGUGACGCCUGCCCGGUGCCGGAAGGUUAAUUGAUGGGGUCAGCGCAAGCGAAGCUCCUGAUCGAAGCCCCGGUAAACGGCGGCCGUAACUAUAACGGUCCUAAGGUAGCGAAAUUCCUUGUCGGGUAAGUUCCGACCUGCACGAAUGGCGUAAUGAUGGCCAGGCUGUCUCCACCCGAGACUCAGUGAAAUUGAACUCGCUGUGAAGAUGCAGUGUACCCGCGGCAAGACGGAAAGACCCCGUGAACCUUUACUAUAGCUUGACACUGAACAUUGAGCCUUGAUGUGUAGGAUAGGUGGGAGGCUUUGAAGCGUGGACGCCAGUCUGCGUGGAGCCGGCCUUGAAAUACCACCCUUUAAUGUUUGAUGUUCUAACGUGGACCCGUGAUCCGGGUUGCGGACAGUGUCUGGUGGGUAGUUUGACUGGGGCGGUCUCCUCCUAAAGAGUAACGGAGGAGCACGAAGGUUGGCUAAUCCUGGUCGGACAUCAGGAGGUUAGUGCAAUGGCAUAAGCCAGCUUGACUGCGAGCGUGACGGCGCGAGCAGGUGCGAAAGCAGGUCAUAGUGAUCCGGUGGUUCUGAAUGGAAGGGCCAUCGCUCAACGGAUAAAAGGUACUCCGGGGAUAACAGGCUGAUACCGCCCAAGAGUUCAUAUCGACGGCGGUGUUUGGCACCUCGAUGUCGGCUCAUCACAUCCUGGGGCUGAAGUAGGUCCCAAGGGUAUGGCUGUUCGCCAUUUAAAGUGGUACGCGAGCUGGGUUUAGAACGUCGUGAGACAGUUCGGUCCCUAUCUGCCGUGGGCGCUGGAGAACUGAGGGGGGCUGCUCCUAGUACGAGAGGACCGGAGUGGACGCAUCACUGGUGUUCGGGUUGUCAUGCCAAUGGCACUGCCCGGUAGCUAAAUGCGGAAGAGAUAAGUGCUGAAAGCAUCUAAGCACGAAACUUGCCCCGAGAUGAGUUCUCCCUGAGACUUAAAGUCUCCUGAAGGAACGUUGAAGACGACGACGUUGAUAGGCCGGGUGUGUAAGCGCAGCGAUGCGUUGAGCUAACCGGUACUAAUGAACCGUGAGGCUUAACCUU
RNAcentral lists this ribosomal RNA (3318 nucleotides) under Salmonella enterica subsp. enterica serovar Derby. Its description in RNAcentral is "bacterial LSU rRNA". It matches the Rfam family "Bacterial large subunit ribosomal RNA". The record is from RNAcentral. Lineage: Bacteria; Pseudomonadati; Pseudomonadota; Gammaproteobacteria; Enterobacterales; Enterobacteriaceae.